CAAAGUUCCAAGAGGGGCUAGGGGUAAACCCUAGCUGCCUCUCUGUCUUCCCCUACCCCCUGCCACUGCUCCACCAUUUUUGGUGAUAAAUGGCGUGUAUGAGGAGUGGUUGUGACAGUGAAAAGGACGGAGCAUUUAUUGCUUCGUCCUUUUCACGAUUUUUAUCACAAAUUCGCAUCCAAACGAACCCUUAAAGUCAAGCCCACCUAUUGGGCCUUAGGCCCAAUAGGAAAUUCAUUCAAAAUCAAGUCUGCGAAGAUAAAGAAAGUAGCUAGGCCCGCGGAAGGCCCAGCCAUGGGUGAAAAUGGCUAACUGGGGGGCUUGGUACGCCCCUAGUCUAACUUUGGCUCCAUUUACAUUGUUAUAUUUGCUUUUCAUUUCAAUUUUGAUGUAUUGGUAACUUGUAUCAAACUCAUAUUAUAGUAGAAAUAUUUUAUGGUUGGAA
Long non-coding RNA from Lycium barbarum (goji berry), 445 nucleotides. RefSeq lists it as uncharacterized. NCBI's taxonomy places the organism in Eukaryota, Viridiplantae, Streptophyta, Magnoliopsida, Solanales, Solanaceae. The record is from RefSeq and is a predicted model, not a curated record. The transcript has 2 exons.